Molecule: transfer RNA, 85 nt
Filed under: Felis catus (domestic cat)
Lineage: Eukaryota; Metazoa; Chordata; Mammalia; Carnivora; Felidae
Rfam family: tRNA
About the family: Transfer RNA (tRNA) molecules are approximately 80 nucleotides in length.
Source: Rfam by way of RNAcentral
GCCUGGGUGGCUCAGUUGGUUAAGCGUCUGAUUUCAACUCAGGUCAUGAUCUCACAGUCCGUGAGUUCGAGCCCCACGUCGGGCU